GACGAACGCUGGCGGCGUGCUUAACACAUGCAAGUCGAACGGAAAGGCCCUGCUUUUGUGGGGUGCUCGAGUGGCGAACGGGUGAGUAACACGUGAGUAACCUGCCCUUGACUUUGGGAUAACUUCUGGAAACUGGGGCUAAUACCGGAUAGGAGCUCCUGCUGCAUGGUGGGGGUUGGAAAGUUUCGGCGGUUGGGGAUGGACUCGCGGCUUAUCAGCUUGUUGGUGGGGUAGUGGCUUACCAAGGCUUUGACGGGUAGCCGGCCUGAGAGGGUGACCGGCAACAUUGGGACUGAGAUACGGCCCAGACUCCUACGGGAGGCAGCAGUGGGGAAUAUUGCACAAGGGGCGGAAGCCGGAUGCAGCAACGCCGCGUGCGGGAUGACGGCCUUCGGGUUGUAAACCGCUUUCGCCUGUGACGAAGCGUGAGUGACGGUAAUGGGGAAAGAAGCACCGGCUAACUACGU
RNAcentral lists this ribosomal RNA (467 nucleotides) under uncultured bacterium. RNAcentral describes it as "partial 16S ribosomal RNA". It matches the Rfam family "Bacterial small subunit ribosomal RNA", at positions 28 to 506 of the family's 1533-position model. The record is from RNAcentral.